RNAcentral lists this long non-coding RNA (395 nucleotides) under Setaria viridis. RNAcentral describes it as "long non-coding RNA (SVIR_LNC010749)". The record is from RNAcentral. Lineage: Eukaryota; Viridiplantae; Streptophyta; Magnoliopsida; Poales; Poaceae.
CUGCCAAGCGGAUACGGCCUCUACGACCGCAUGGCCACCGCCUCUGGGUGGGAGGGUGCUGCUAGCAGCCGCUCGUGCGAGCCAGCCUCCGUCGCCGUUCCCGAGCGGGAGGGUGCCGCUCCUGGCUCGCUCGCACAGGCCCGCACCGCCGCUCCCAUGAGCUGCCCUUGCCUCAAGCCCACGGUUGCUAAGGGGGCUGCUCGUCUGCGUGUCGUGCCUCCCCCGUUGAGCCCGAGGGUGGUGCUCGCCGUGGCUGCCAUCGUUGCGCUUGCUGCUGGAGGGCGAGCCCAUUGCCACCUUGCGCGGAGCGGGAGCUCCACCAUCGCCUCAUGCAUCUCCGGCGUCCGGUGGAGACCUUCCCAGUGGACCGUCGAUUUGGAUUGAGGAGAGGAAAU